AAAGGAAUAGACGGGGACCCGCACAAGUAGCGGAGCAUGUGGUUUAAUUCGACGCAACGCGAAGAACCUUACCAACAUUUGACAUCCCUCUGACCGGACUAGAGAUAGUCCUUCUCUUCGGAGCAGAGGUGACAGGUGGUGCAUGGUUGUCGUCAGCUCGUGUCGUGAGAUGUUGGGUUAAGUCCCGCAACGAGCGCAACCCCUAUCUUUAGUUGCCAUCAUUAAGUUGGGCACUCUAGAGAGACUGCCAUUGACAAAAUGGAGGAAGGUGGGGAUGACGUCAAAUCAUCAUGCCCCUUAUAUGUUGGGCUACACACGUGCUACAAUGGUUGGUACAACGGGCAGCGAAACCGCGAGGUGGAGCCAAUCCCAAUAAGCCAAUCUCAGUUCGGAUUGUAGGCUGCAACUCGCCUACAUGAAGCCGGAGUUACUAGUAAUCGCGGAUCAGAAUGCCGCGGUGAAUACGUUCCCGGGUCUUGUACACACCGCCCGU
RNAcentral lists this ribosomal RNA (493 nucleotides) under uncultured bacterium. RNAcentral's name for it is "bacterial SSU rRNA". It matches the Rfam family "Bacterial small subunit ribosomal RNA", at positions 903 to 1397 of the family's 1533-position model. The record is from RNAcentral.